CAGAGUCCUUGAGUGAACAGCCAAGGUAAACAAAGAAAACAAAACAAAAUAAUCCUUCCAGGAGAGCCCCAAGUGAACUCAUCUUGUUCUUCUCCAGUCAAAAUGAACGUUCAGUGAGAUCUGAAAAAUGUGCAGAGUGGGUUUCCAGCACCCAAAGCCUGGGAUGGGCCUGGAGAUGCGGCAUGAAUGCGCCCAGCAGCAGCACACGCAGGCUGUAACAACACAUGAUUGCCUUGAAUUAGGCCAAUUUCCAUGGCUCAGCGUUGAUGCACACACUCCUCAUGAUAAGGUGCUCAGAGGCUGCCAGAAACUGAGAGCAAGGUGCAGUUUCUGCAGUAAAGUGCAGCACAGCAAUCAGCCCCCAGAGGCAUUGCUCCUUGAGGGAAUGCAUGACGCCAGCACACCAAAUCAACAUUUCCAUCUCUUCUUAGUGUAGAUGUGAAAUUGGAACAAUCAGAACCCUUUCCUUCUGCAGAAGCACAGGCAUCCAGAUGACAUUUAUGGUGCUUGGCAGGACCUGCAGCUUGCUUGCAAACAGUACAUUCAUUUGGUUGUCAUUGAUUCGGGUGGAUCCUUCAGGAUAGCGAUUGUGGCAAGGGGCUGAGGAGAUUUGUCCUUGCUUGCAUCAGCUGCAGCAGUGACAUGGUAAGCUAUAAUAUUACAGUGAUCCUAAUAACGUUGCACACAAGUUAUGUCAAUGAAGUAACAGUUAAUAAGUUAGUGGCAACUUAGUGCUGGAGCCCUGGGAAAAGGAAUGUCCAAGGGUACCCAGUGUGCCCAAGAAGUCUCACGGUUGACUUUGCAUGUGAUUCUGCUACAGCAUGGGCCAGCAAGGGAUUUGUCCCUGAGUCUCUGGGAAGCACAAGCCACAGAAUCAUAGAAUAGCUUAUGGUGGAAGGGGUGUUAAAGAUUAUCUUGCACUUGGCCUUGUAGACCCACUUCUCAGGCCUGUCCAGGUCCCUCUGGAUGGCAUCCCUUUCUUACAUGGUGUCCACUGUACCACUCAGCUUGGUGUCAUCAGCAAGCUUGCUGAGGGUGCACUCAAUCCCACUGUGUGUAUCACAGAUAAAGAUGUUGAAGGGCACUGUCCCAAGAUGGACCCCUGGGGGCCACCACUCCUCACUGCCUAAACCUGGACAUGGAGGCAUUGACCUCAGCCCUCUGGCUGUGACCAUCCAACCAAUUCCUUAUCCACCAAACAGUCCCUGCUUCAAACCUGUAUCUCUCCAAUUUAGAGGUAAGGAUGUGAGAUAACGAGAUAAGCCACCUCUGACUACAUCCUCACAAGCCAAUCCACGCAGAGAGCCACAAUUUAAAUUAUAUAUUUAAAAAAAUGUCUAUAAUCAUCAGAAAAUCAGAUAACAUCGUUACCACUGGAGCAGAACAGUCAAGCACAGAAGGAAAAGAGAUUCAAAAUGCGUUUGACUGCCUGACAGGGAGGAGCAACCAUCGCACUGUGCAUCCCACCCUUUCCCCCAGGCAAAUACGUGUUUUCUUCAGUUAUCAGUUGUGCAAGGAGCUGGAGAGAAGCCAAUGGAAACCAGUGACACUGAGACAUAAGCUCUGGGCUCCUGGCUGCAGGGGGGUGUGGCGAGCCCUAAAAACCCCCACCAGCUCCCAGUGGCUCUUGUAGAAAAGCUUCGGGGCUGCCCUGAACGAAGUACAAACCAUGCAAAAAAAGCAGUUUGCAUCAGGCUUGGAACCGAAUGCCGUUUGGUUGUCACCCUCCAAAAAUGUGCAAAGCUGUGCCAAGCUCCGCUGCCGGGGGACAGGACAUUAUCAUUCAUCCUUUCACUCUCCUGCAGCACGCGGCCAUUUCUACAAAUUGCCUUUGUGCAAAAACACAUGGAACAUAAAGGCGACAAUGGAGUUCAUGGAGAUGCGAGCCGCUCCUCCAGGGUUUCGGAUUUCCUGGCAGAGCUCACAUAUCCUUUGUUGCUGAAAACAGGGAUCAGCAGAGAGCACCACACCUUCAAGCGUGCACGGU
This is a long non-coding RNA of Gallus gallus (chicken), 1987 nucleotides long. NCBI's taxonomy places the organism in Eukaryota, Metazoa, Chordata, Aves, Galliformes, Phasianidae. The record is from Ensembl.